This 60-nucleotide transfer RNA is filed under the name Zootermopsis nevadensis. It matches the Rfam family "tRNA", at positions 7 to 64 of the family's 71-position model. From Rfam's summary of the family: Transfer RNA (tRNA) molecules are approximately 80 nucleotides in length. The record is from Rfam by way of RNAcentral. Lineage: Eukaryota; Metazoa; Arthropoda; Insecta; Blattodea; Termopsidae.
AAAUAUCAGCGGUCAGAAAACUAGCCUUGUAAGCCAGGGGUCCCGGGUUCAAUUCCCGGU